CCUACGGGUGGCAGCAGUGGGGAAUAUUGCUCAAUGGGCGCUAGCCUGAUCCAGCGAAGUAGCGUGAGGGAUGACUGACCUCUGUGUUGUAAACUUCAUUUAUAUGGGAAUAAAGUGCAGUAUGUAUACUGCUUUGCAUGUACCUUAUGAUUCCGGAUAGGCUAACUCCGUGCCAGCAGCCGCGGUUAUACGGAGGAUCCGAGCGUUAUCCGGAUUUAUUGGGUUUAAAGGGAGCGUAGGCGGAUUGUUAAGUCAGUUGUGAAAGUUUGCGGCGCAACCGUAAAAUUGCAGUUGAUACUGGCAUCCUGGAGUACAGGAGAGGUAGGCGGAAUUCGUGGUGUAGCGGUGAAAUGCGUAGAUAUCACGAAGAACUCCGAUUGCGAAGGCAGCCUGCUGGACUGUAACUGACGCUGAGGCUCGAAAGUGUGGGUAUCAAACAGGAUUAGAUACCCCUGUAGUC
This 460-nucleotide ribosomal RNA is filed under the name uncultured bacterium. RNAcentral describes it as "partial 16S ribosomal RNA". It matches the Rfam family "Bacterial small subunit ribosomal RNA", at positions 338 to 795 of the family's 1533-position model. The record is from RNAcentral.